CCUGCCCUGUGACUUCGUGUUUAACGGCCGCGGUAUCCUAACCGUGCAAAGGUAGCGCAAUCAAUUGUCUCAUAAAUCGAGACCUGUAUGAAUGGCUAAACGAGGUCUUAACUGUCUCUUACAGGCGAUCGGUGAAAUUGAUCUCCCUGUGCAAAAGCAGGGAUAACUACAUAAGACGAGAAGACCCUGUGGAGCUUAAAAAUCAGCAGCCACCCCACAACACAUUCACACCCACUGGGUUCACGCUUUAUCAAGUGCUGGCCUGCAUUUUUCGGUUGGGGCGACCUUGGAGAAAAACAGAUCCUCCAAAUAUUAGACCACAACUCUAGACCGAGAGCGACCUCUCAACGUGCUAAUAGUACCCAGACCCAAUAUAAUUGAUCAAUGGACCAAGUUACCCCAGGGAUAACAGCGCAAUCUCCUCCGAGAGUCCGUAUCGACGAGGGGGUUUACGACCUC
Molecule: ribosomal RNA, 459 nt
Filed under: Cyanocitta cristata (blue jay)
Lineage: Eukaryota; Metazoa; Chordata; Aves; Passeriformes; Corvidae
Description: partial 16S ribosomal RNA
Rfam family: Bacterial large subunit ribosomal RNA
Source: RNAcentral